This is a long non-coding RNA of Culex quinquefasciatus (southern house mosquito), 1541 nucleotides long. RefSeq lists it as uncharacterized. Lineage: Eukaryota; Metazoa; Arthropoda; Insecta; Diptera; Culicidae. The record is from RefSeq and is a predicted model, not a curated record. The transcript is spliced from 2 exons.
CCCGGUCGUGGGCAAAACAUAACAUUCUUGAUAAACAUCAGUUUGUCACUUUAUUUUAUUCUUUUGAGUUGAAGUAGUUCAGAUUUGCCUAUUUACUCUGCAAAUAAUUUGACAUCCAACCAAUCCACAACAUCCGGUCACGUGUUGUCAACACACGUUUUUCCAGUUGCCAGGGGCGGCUGAUCCAAAGGAGAACACUGUAACAGAAGCACCGGUCCCGGAGUUACGUAAGCGCACCAUAGUUGUCAUCAUCUGCGUCUUUUCUCCAUGGAGAUCGUCGGGUGAGCGCACAAGGCAACGACUACUGCGACGAGGACGUCUGCAAUUGACAGCUUCCGCUCGUGAAAGUUUUGCAACGUGAAAAAAAACAUAAAACCCUACAGACAUCCAAGUAGGCCAAGGAUUCGGACAGGCGAAUUUCGUUCAUCCGCGCUGUUGCUCCAAUUGGAAUAUUCAUGAACAACUGAACGGGGCCGAGACCGGAUGGGAUGAAUCGGCUGCAGAAGUUGCGAAUCGGUAAUGUAAUGCAAAUUUUGCGCUCGCAACCCGCAUAUUUCACGCGGGAGUUGAACCGAAUCCCGGUUGAACUGGGCGAAAAAAAAAACAUAGUUUGGAGAACAACCAGAGCGCGGCAACACUUGAAAGUGUCGGACAAAGGACUCUGCAUGGGUAUCUCUCUGGUGAGGAAAAACAGACCGACCAACAGAGGGCCAUGAACCUGUCGGUACCAACUACUCGGAACAAAUGGAGGAGUAACAAGAGUUAAAUCUGAUGGGAGUACCACGAUAAUGAGUUUCGUCUGGUCUGGUAAUCUACUAGCGUUGAUCUGAGUGGUGUCUAUCAAGACAGAAGAAGACCAUUGUGCGGUGUGGUUCUUGUGUCUGAAUAGCAGGCCAUGGAACGAAGAAGUUGUCGGUUUGCGGUUUUUUGUUGUUGUUGCAAGGUGACGUUUGAGACUGCUUGAUGACAAUCAUAGCACUGCAUAGCAUUCGUUAAUUGUUGGCAUUACUUAUGUUGAUAUUUGCACAGAAUUAAAAAAAAAUCAGAGGGCACGCAAUAAAUUGAUAAAUUACGAAACUCCGUGGGAAACAAUCACACCUCCAAAUCGGUUCCCACAUCGAAAAUGAGCCCGGAAUCACUUAAACGUCUGCUUCCACCUCGAAAAUCGUGAGCUUAAGCCUGGUCGAUGCACAUGAUCGCUCCAGUGCUCGCACUAAGUCGGCGGUGGAGUUUACGAUCACGAGAUUCUUAAUGACGACCGGAGUCCCCUCUCUGUAGAACAAGAAUCAGAGUAAAAAACGAAGUGUUACAAGUUGUCUUGUUUCUUUUUUCUCUCUAUUACCAGCCGACCAUGGCAGCCCAACCAUGAAUGAAGUGAUUUAGUGGAGUUUCAUUCUACGAGUGUGUGUGAAUGUGUAUUGGAAGGGAAAAUUUAUUGCUUUCGGAAAAGCGCAGUAAAAGUGAUUGUUUUAGACUGGAGGAAAAAAAAUGUUGGAAUAAAGGGGGAAAUUUGAGGCGUAAAAUUAGAACAGACGAUUUUA